UUGCCCACACGCCCCGCACAUGAGGCGACCCGCGGCAUCCGCUCCCGGACGGAGGUCUGGUCCCCGCUGGGAGGGGGCCCGAGGCCGACAGAGACGGGCGCCCCUCGCCGAAGCUCCGUCUCCCCGACAGACAGGCGGAGAGCAGAGCAUGUCUUCCGGACGGCCCGUGUGGGCGCGGCCCCAGGCCGGGAGGGAGGGCAGGCCCGGGGCUCCCCGCCCGCCGCCCGGCCCCGCCCCGUCCCCACGGGGCUGAGCCCGGAGGCCCCGCCCCCCGCCCACGAGGAAGUGGCAGCGCAGCGCGGCGCCCAGAGCCGGUUCGGCGCGUCGACUGCCCAGAGUCCGCGGCCGCGGCGCCCCGAGGUGAGGGGGGCGCUGGGGCAGCCCGGAAGGGCGGGAUCGAGGGGAGCGCGGGGAGGGGGCGCGUGCAGGUGGGGAGGGCGUUGCGGGGGGGUCGCCAGGAGAUGGGGGGCCGCGGGGAGCUCAGGGACGAGAAGGGGCACUGAGGGCCCCCCUGGACGUGAGCGGGCGCGCUCGGGGCGCGGGGUGCUGGCGGGUGAGCGACCUCCUUCGGGCGAGGGCGCCGCAGCGCUCCCCACACUCCGUGCCUUCGGGGCGCGCGGGCCCGCGCGUCCACCUCCGCGCCCGGCCCUCUCGGCCUCCCCUCUCUCCCGUCCCCCCACCCCUGACUCUGCCCGGCCGUCGGUGGUCCCCGUUAUUUCGAGCCGGAGGGCCCCCACGCCCAGUCACUUCCCCUCCAUCCUUCAGCCUUCCGGGUUCCUCCAGCGGGGAAAUGAGCUGGCGCCCCCGCCCGCCUCGCCCCUCCCCUCUCCCUCCUUCUCUCCCGGCCCCCAGCCCGCCCCCGACCCCGGGGCCAGGUCGAAGGGGUCCGAUGCGGUGGGGGGUUGCCCGGGUCCGGAAGGCGGACCUCCUGAGCUCGCGGGCGCUGGACCGCCGCGUUCCGAGCGGCCCCUCUCUCUCCGGCGGCCCAGGGGCCGCGGCCAGGACUGGGGCAGGGCCGGGACCUCGGGGCGGCGACGGUGA
Molecule: long non-coding RNA, 1041 nt
Filed under: Bos grunniens (domestic yak)
Lineage: Eukaryota; Metazoa; Chordata; Mammalia; Artiodactyla; Bovidae
Description: lncRNA (ENSBGRG00000024496.1)
Source: RNAcentral